GACGAACGCUGGCGGCGUGCUUAACACAUGCAAGUCGAACGGAAAGGCCCUGCUUUUGUUGGGUGCUCGAGUGGCGAACGGGUGAGUAACACGUGAGUAACCUGCCCUUGACUUUGGGAUAACUUCAGGAAACUGGGGCUAAUACCGGAUAGGAGCUCCUGCUGCACGGGGGGGGUUGGAAAGUUUCGGCGGUUGGGGAUGGACUCGCGGCUUACCAGCUUGUUGGUGGGGUAGUGGCUUACCAAGGCUUCGACGGGUAGCCGGCCUGAGAGGGUGACCGGCGACAUUGGGACUGAGAUACGGCGCAGACUCCUACGGGACGCAACGGUGGGGAGUCUUGCACAGCGGGCGGGAGCCUGAUGCAGCGACGCCGCGAGCGGGAGGACGGCCUUCGGGUUGUAAACCGCUUUCGCCUGUGACGAAGCGUGAGUGACGGUAAUGGGUAAGGAAGCAACGGCUAACUACGUG
This 468-nucleotide ribosomal RNA is filed under the name uncultured bacterium. RNAcentral's name for it is "partial 16S ribosomal RNA". It matches the Rfam family "Bacterial small subunit ribosomal RNA", at positions 28 to 507 of the family's 1533-position model. The record is from RNAcentral.